This 1275-nucleotide ribosomal RNA is filed under the name Apteropeda orbiculata. Its description in RNAcentral is "16S ribosomal RNA". The stretch from base 1066 to 1224 matches the Rfam family "Archaeal large subunit ribosomal RNA", at positions 2542 to 2701 of the family's 2987-position model. Lineage: Eukaryota; Metazoa; Arthropoda; Insecta; Coleoptera; Chrysomelidae. The record is from RNAcentral.
UUAAAAAGAUAAUUGUUAAUCAAUUUAAUUUGAUGAUUUAAAAUUUAUUAGUUUUAGUAUAUUAAUUUUUUUUUAAAAGAAAUAUUUUUUAUUUAAGUAUUUUUUAGAAAUAAUUUAUUUUAUGAUAGUGUAUAGUAUUGUGAAAGAAAAUUUGAAAGUUUUUUUAAGAAGAAUUUUUUUUGUACCUUGUGCAUCAGGGUUAAUUAAAAUUGAUUAAAAAUUUAAUAGUCUCGAAUUUAAAAGAGUUAAAAAUUUAUAAUUUUUAUUGUAAAAUAAAUAUAUUUAAUAAAUUUUUAGUAAUGAAAUGUUAUUCGUUUUUAAAUAUAUCUAGUUUUUUAAGAAAAAAAUUUAAUUUUAUUUUUAUUAAUAUUAUUUUAAUUUAAUAAUUUUGUAUUAAUAAAAAGUAAUAUUUUUAGGGAAAAGCUUAAAAAUAAAAUAUUAUUAAAAAAUAAUAAUUAAAAAAUUUUAGGAUUAGAAAUUUUCAUAAUUUUUUGUUUGUUAUAAUUUAUUUUUAUAAUUUAAUAUUUAUAUUUUUUAUAAAUUUUUUAUUAAAAUUUAAUUUUUAAUUUUAAAAAUUUAAAAAUAAUGAUAAAAUUAGUACAAAUUUUUAUAUUAUUUCUUAUUAAUUUAAGGUAAAUUUUAGGAACUCGGCAAAGUAAUUUUUCACCUGUUUAUUAAAAACAUGUCCUUUUGUUAAGAAUUUAAGGUCUCGCCUGCCCAAUGAGUUUUAAAUGGCCGCGGUAUUUUGACCGUGCUAAGGUAGCAUAAUCAUUAGUUUUUUAAUUGAAAGCUGGAAUGAAGGGUUGGAUGAAAAAAUAGCUGUCUUAAAUUUAAUUAUUUUGAAUUUUAUUAUUAAGUUAAAAAGCUUAAAUAUUUUUAAAAGACGAGAAGACCCUAUAGAGUUUUAUAAUAUAAAUUUAUGGAUAUUUAGAAUUUAUUUUUUUUUAUAUUUAUUAUUAUUUAAUUGGGGUGAUUAAAAAAUUUAAUUAACUUUUUUUUUAUUUAAAUAUUUAUAAAUAAAUUGAUGAUCCUAUUUUUUAGAUUAAAAGAUUAAGUUACCUUAGGGAUAACAGCGUAAUUUUAUUUGAGAGUUCAAAUCGAAAAUAGAGAUUGCGACCUCGAUGUUGGAUUAAAGUUAAUUUUUGGUGUAGAAGCUGAGAUAUUAAGUCUGUUCGACUUUUAAAACUUUACAUGAUCUGAGUUUAAACCGGUGUAAGCCAGGUUGGUUUCUAUCUUUAAAUAAUUAAUAUAUUUUAGUACGAAAGGACCAAAUAU